RNAcentral lists this ribosomal RNA (446 nucleotides) under uncultured bacterium. RNAcentral's name for it is "partial 16S ribosomal RNA". It matches the Rfam family "Bacterial small subunit ribosomal RNA", at positions 330 to 792 of the family's 1533-position model. The record is from RNAcentral.
UCCAGACUCCUACGGGAGGCAGCAGUGGGGGAUAUUGCACAAUGGGGGGAACCCUGAUGCAGCGACGCCGCGUGAGUGAAGGAGCGUUUCGGCGCGUAAAGCCCUAUCGGCAGGGAAGAAGGAGGACGGUACCUGACUAAGAAGCCCCGGCUAACUACGUGCCAGCAGCCGCGGUAAUACGUAGGGGGCAAGCGUUAUCCGGAUUUACUGGGUGUAAAGGGGGCGCAGACGGCGGCGCAAGCCAGGAGUGAAAGCCCGGGGCCCAACCCCGGGACUGCUCUUGGAACUGCGCGGCUGGAGUGCAGGAGGGGCAGGCGGAAUUCCUGGUGUAGCGGUGAAAUGCGUAGAUAUCAGGAGGAACACCGGUGGCGAAGGCGGCCUGCUGGACUGCGACUGACGUUGAGGCCCGAAAGCGUGGGGAGCAAACAGGAUUAGAUACCCCCGUA